AGCUCCACCAAAAACCUACAUUUAUAUGGGAGGGGAAAGGUCAUAAUUUCUUUUCUGGGUGGGUGUAAUGUACUCGGGCGAGGACUUCAUAUAAUUAGGAUCGAACGUCACUUACAGUUUAUUUCAAACACAGAACGAGUGAAGUUAGUAUCAGCUGAAUUAACAGGUCUUUGGUAAAACCGGGCAAACGUUUGAGAACCUGCAGACCAACCUACAGUUCUACGAAUGGUAUCAAAAUCGACACCGUUUUCGACAGCUUUUGACGUUGACGCAUGUCUUGUAGAAUGGGCAGAAGAUAUCGUGGUAUCGAUUCCACUUAAGAAUAAGGAUUUCUUGACCCAUCUACUAAUUACGUCCUGUGAAAGUAGUACAUCCUGUCUGACUUAUCGGACGUCUCGCAAACGGGAGCCUGGAGUUUGACUGUUGAUUUGGAAUCAUGUUUCUUUUUCUCACUUGAGGGAGUUUGAGACUAUCGCUCAUUUUAUUAAGAGCCUUUGAUUUUUUUAUUUUGUCUGACAA
This is a long non-coding RNA of Fopius arisanus, 519 nucleotides long. RefSeq lists it as uncharacterized. The transcript has 3 exons. Lineage: Eukaryota; Metazoa; Arthropoda; Insecta; Hymenoptera; Braconidae. The record is from RefSeq and is a predicted model, not a curated record.